RNAcentral lists this long non-coding RNA (1567 nucleotides) under Homo sapiens (human). RNAcentral's name for it is "non-protein coding lnc-FRG2-7:1". The record is from RNAcentral. Lineage: Eukaryota; Metazoa; Chordata; Mammalia; Primates; Hominidae.
CAUCACGUACUACAAUACAGUGUAUUUUGUUUUAUUGCUAAAAAAUGUUAACACACAGAUACACACAAUGGGAUCAUAUAAUGUUGAAAAAUAGAGAUGGGGAGAGGAACAAGGGGGUCUCGCAUCCCAAGUACUAACCAGGCCCGACUCUGCUUAGCUUUCAAGGUCAGUCGAGAUCCCGUGCGUUCAGGGUGGUGUGGCCGUAAAGGCCGGCAGUGGCGGCUGCUCGACUCCUGGCGUCACCGCCACCCCUGGGCCGCGGGGCUCAGAUCCGGGGCCCCAGAACCGCUCCCCCGCGGCCGGGCUGCUCUCGCCAUCAAGGUCCCAGCACCGCCGGCCGCCGCGCUGCGCCUUCCGCCGGCCUCCCAGAGCCACCCCCGUCGCCUGCGGCCAGAGAACGCGCCGUGGCACCGCCCUGCUGCAGCGCGGGAGAGCCAGAGACCUCAGUCCCCUGCCCAGGCUCCAGGCACACCAGGUGGCCUCCCUUUUCGCAGACGCUCCAGGCCUUCCCCGGCUUGGGAGCUCCCAAGCUUCCAACACAUCUGGCCGGCUCAGGACGGGGUGUGCUCCGAGGCGUCAGGGCCCAGGGCCAACUGUCCUGGGAUCCCCUCCGGUCCUUCGUCUUGCCGCAGAAAAAUUGUUUUGGAUCCCUCGCCGCCCCUCCUGCAAGGCCCCCUCUUGCCCCACACACCCAGAGCCGUCAGGGCUGUCCAGGGGCAAACAGCCGGCCCAGCCCUGAGGGCCCUUUUUCUCACAACGCCCACACCAUUGUCGCUUGUCCCAACGAGGACUCGCCCCGUUGGCCAAGGCCCUGCUUUGCCCCGCGCUGGCACUAGAGCCCCCGCAGCCUGAUCCCGGGGGAGAGGGGCUGAUGGGCCACCCAGACACACCCCACCACCACGAGCAAACCCACCCCGACACGCACACAGAUACACACGGGAGCACGCGCGCGGUCACACACACACGGACACACACGGAGACACACACGGGCACACACACACGGACACACAAAGACACAGACACAGACAAAGAUAGCUUGAAGUAAGGGAGGAGACCACCCCUCAUAUUGUCUUAUGCCCAAUUUCUGCGUACUGAGACUAACACAGCAACUGUGACACCCAUGCGCUGGCGAUAGAGUAGGCAGCCUGAUCCCGGGACAAAGUUACUGACGGACAUCCAGACACACCCCACCACAAUCACGAGCAAACCCAUUCCCAAACAGACACACAUGGGCGCACCGCUUUUAGUAAAAACUAAAAGGCAGAAAUGAAAUCCAUAGGCAGACAGCCCGGUGUCACACCCUGGGCCUGGUAGUUAAAGAUAUACCCCUGACCUACUCGGUUAUGUUGUCUAUAGAUUACAGACAUUGUAUCGAAAAGCACUGUGAAAAUCCCUGUCCUGUUUUGUUCUGAUCUAAUUACCGCUGCAUGCGGCCCCCAGUCAGUACCCUCUGCUUCCUCAAUGGAUCACGACCCUCUCACGCAGACCCCCUUAGAGUUGUAAGCCCUUAAGAGGGACAGGAAUUACUCAGUCGGGGAGCUCGGUUUUUGGAGACAUGAGUCUGCGG